ACGCUCGACACCUACGGGAGGCAGCAGUUAGGAAUAUUCGUCAAUGGGGGAAACCCUGAACGAGCAAUGCCGCGUGAGUGAUGAAGGCCCUAUGGGUUGUAAAACUCUGUUGUUGAGAAAGAAUUGUAAGAUUAGGAAAUGAGUCUUACUUGACGGUACUCUUCAAGAAAGCCACGGCUAACUACGUGCCAACAGCCGCGGUAAUCUGAGCGGGCUGGCAAGGC
Molecule: ribosomal RNA, 224 nt
Filed under: uncultured bacterium
Lineage: Bacteria
Description: partial 16S ribosomal RNA
Rfam family: Bacterial small subunit ribosomal RNA
Source: RNAcentral